UGCAUUUGGCCCUGGGGACAAAAAGUUGACGAGGGUAUGGUUCCUGCCUUCCUAAUGCCAAAAAUCCUUGGAGAAGAUAUGCAAACAUGUGAACACUAUACAAUAUGAUAUGCAUGCCAGUCGAGGACUUGAAUUUGGGAGCAUACAGGCCCAGAGUAGCUGACAGCCAUCUUGUGACAUGCAGGACCUGAAAGCAGAGCCAAUCUAUAGGAACAGAAGAGAGAGAUGGGAGAAAAUUAGAUCCCGGUGCUGUUAUUCAAGCCCCUGGAUUAAGCCACACCUGAAACAGUCUGUUUCUUAGCCUGUCCACCAACAGCUCUGUCGGCUGCAAAGUGACCCUGGAGCUCUGCAGCCUCACCGGAGUCUUGGGAAGAGGCAAAGACGCAGACUGUGCAGCUUGCUGGAGCCAGAUGCUCUCUCCUCUCUAACCAUGUUGGCCUGUGUGACCCUGCACACGUGAUAGACAGAGCGUGAGCAGGAGAGAGGAGACAGAACUCAAAG
Hyaena hyaena (striped hyena) is the source of this 501-nucleotide long non-coding RNA. RefSeq lists it as uncharacterized. The transcript has 4 exons. The record is from RefSeq and is a predicted model, not a curated record. NCBI's taxonomy places the organism in Eukaryota, Metazoa, Chordata, Mammalia, Carnivora, Hyaenidae.